GCCUCUAUGGUCUAGUGGUACGAUACCUGCUUUGGGAGCUUGUGAAAGCAUCAAUUGCAGGUGGCCCGGGCGGGUUCGAAUCCCCGUGGAGGCC
Non-coding RNA from Mycena rebaudengoi, 94 nucleotides. The record is from the annotation of a GenBank genome assembly. Lineage: Eukaryota; Fungi; Basidiomycota; Agaricomycetes; Agaricales; Mycenaceae.